This is a long non-coding RNA of Beta vulgaris subsp. vulgaris (sugar beet), 1174 nucleotides long. RefSeq lists it as uncharacterized. Lineage: Eukaryota; Viridiplantae; Streptophyta; Magnoliopsida; Caryophyllales; Amaranthaceae. The record is from RefSeq and is a predicted model, not a curated record. The transcript has 3 exons.
AUAGUAGGUUAAUUCCACAUUUCUCAUCCACUUGAAAAUUACAAACUAUAACCACAACCUCCAUUUACACCAUCAAAUAAAAAUCUGAAUUUCCAUUGAUGUGUCUUAUUCUUUUUGAGUACCCAUGAAUGCCCUAAAUACCCACUCUCUUUCUCCUUUAAUUUUUGGUUGUCGUACUGUUUUUCCCCUAUAUCGUCUUCUUGAAGUCAGAAUCUGCAUAUACUUCCUUCAUGAAAGUUGUAGAUCGUGAAAAGUUAUUGAAUUUAGACCCAAAGAUCAUCUGAUUCGGAGUUCGGAGUAAAGAGUUAGACCCUUUAUUAGAAAGGAAAAGGGAUAUUACAAGCCUUCCCCGGCUAUCAAGUAUAAUAAUCGCGACUCGAGGUAUGGCAAAGCAUAUGCAAGGGUGAUAUUAUGGAUUAUGUUGAAGUAACUCUACACAUAUUUGGGAUGUUUAGAAUACUAUGUAUUAUGAGUAAUCAUUAUUACUCUACUUGAGAGUUUGUAUAUUUUUAGAGAUCAUUUUAAGGCUAUUAUUUUAUUUAUGGGCCCAUAACCCACAGCUUAAGUUCUGUUUCCGCUGCCAAUCAUGAGUAAUUAAGGCUAUGAAUUCUCGGGGCGUUACAGGGUGUUUAGAUACCCGACGCCCCACUUGUAGCUAUUGUGUGUUCCUUGGUGAUAAUUUACUCUCCUGGUCCUCUAAGCGAUAGGCUACUUUUGUCUUGUUCUAGUGCUGAAUCAGAAUACAGGGGGUUGCCGAUGUAGUAUCUGAGUUGUGUUGGUUGCGAAAUCUACUUAUUGAGCUUCAGUGUCCUAUCAGAAAGCUACAUUGGUGUAUUGUAAUAAUGUGAGUGCGAUUUACUUGUCCGACAACCCGAUUCAACAUCAACGCACAAAAGACAAUGAGAUGGAUAUUCAUAUUGUACGUGAUAAAGAAGCACGAGGUGAGGUUCGCGUGUUACAUGUUCCAUCCCGGUAUUAGAUUGCCGAUAUUUUCACGAAGGGUCUUCCGUUAUUUGAAAAUUUUAGGGACAGUCUCAGCGUCCGACCUCCUCCCGCUUUGACUGAGGGGGUGUGCUAGAAUAUAUGAAAAUACUCCUAUUUUUAUUAUUCACAAUAUUGUUGUAUAUCUUUUAGUUAGUUAGUAACCUAUUUUAUAAGAUAUGUGAUUACUGUA